CGACGUGGGUAACCUGCCUCAUACAGGGGGAUAACAGUUAGAAAUGGCUGCUAAUACCGCAUAAGCACACAGCUUCGCAUGGAGCAGUGUGAAAAACUCCGGUGGUAUGAGAUGGACCCGCGUCUGAUUAGCUAGUUGGUAAGGUAACGGCUUACCAAGGCGACGAUCAGUAGCCGACCUGAGAGGGUGAUCGGCCACAUUGGGACUGAGACACGGCCCAG
Molecule: ribosomal RNA, 221 nt
Filed under: uncultured bacterium
Lineage: Bacteria
Description: partial 16S ribosomal RNA
Rfam family: Bacterial small subunit ribosomal RNA
Source: RNAcentral